RNAcentral lists this ribosomal RNA (253 nucleotides) under uncultured bacterium. Its description in RNAcentral is "partial 16S ribosomal RNA". It matches the Rfam family "Bacterial small subunit ribosomal RNA", at positions 524 to 776 of the family's 1533-position model. The record is from RNAcentral.
UACGUAGGGGGCUAGCGUUGUCCGGAAUCAUUGGGCGUAAAGAGCGCGUAGGCGGCCAGAUAAGUCCGGUGUGAAAGUCACAGGCUCAACCUGUGAAUGCCGCUGGAAACUGUCUGGCUAGAGUCCGGAAGGGGCGAGUGGAAUUCCUGGUGUAGCGGUGGAAUGCGCAGAUAUCAGGAAGAACACCAACGGCGAAGGCAGCUCGCUGGGACGGUACUGACGCUGAGACGCGAAAGCGUGGGGAGCGAACAGG